This 266-nucleotide unclassified non-coding RNA is filed under the name Hevea brasiliensis (rubber tree). The record is from RNAcentral. Lineage: Eukaryota; Viridiplantae; Streptophyta; Magnoliopsida; Malpighiales; Euphorbiaceae.
GUAUGGUAUCAAUCCCAUAUCAUCUUGUGAUUCUAAUCCAUGUGAAAAUGGUGAUGAUGGGUAUAGAAAGCCACCUCACAUGUGCACUCACAUGCUCUUAGCUAUUAGAGGGUCCUCAAUCACCCACAUAAAAACAAAAAAUAAAACUAACACAACUGAAAUGAUGAGAGUGAGAGAUGAAGAAUGCAAUAAACACCAUACACUCAGCUAUCUUUUUCCUGUAUUAGUCUAAACCCAUAUUCUCACUCUCGUGACUCUGUGUUUUG